UAAUAUAAUUAUAAAAGAAGGAAAUGGCUUUAUUAUUAGUAGAAGAAAAUACUUCUAAUUGAAUUAGAAUAGAAUUAUUCAUCUAUAAUAAUUAUAAAAAGAAGGAAAAUGAUUAUAUUAUUAAUAGUAGAAGAAAAUCUGGAUCAGCCAUGUGGCCUUGGGAAAAUGCAGAAAGAACAAAAAAGAUGCAGCUUAGCGGAACCACUGUGUUUGAAAUCAGGAGAUAAAAG
This 230-nucleotide long non-coding RNA is filed under the name Homo sapiens (human). RNAcentral's name for it is "HSALNT0068459". Lineage: Eukaryota; Metazoa; Chordata; Mammalia; Primates; Hominidae. The record is from RNAcentral.